GAUGAAGAACGUAGCGAAAUGCGAUACGUAAUGUGAAUUGCAGAUUUCAGUGAAUCAUCGAAUCUUUGAACGCACAUUGCGCCCGCUAGUAUUCUGGCGGGCAUGCCUGUUCGAGCGUCAUUUCAACCAUCAAGCCCCCGGCUUGCGUUGGAGCCCUGCGGCUGCCGCAGGCUCCCAAAUCCAGUGGCGGGCUCGUCGUCGUACCGAGUGCAGUAAACAUCCUCGCUCAGGGAACGUGACGGGUUCUUGCCGUGAAACCCCCCACAUAUCAAGGUUGACCUCGGAUCAGGUAGGAAUACCCGCUGAACUUAAGCAUAUCAAUAAGCGGACGA
RNAcentral lists this unclassified non-coding RNA (332 nucleotides) under soil metagenome. RNAcentral describes it as "partial contains 5.8S ribosomal RNA, internal transcribed spacer 2, and large subunit ribosomal RNA". The stretch from base 1 to 120 matches the Rfam family "5.8S ribosomal RNA", at positions 35 to 154 of the family's 154-position model. The record is from RNAcentral.